RNAcentral lists this ribosomal RNA (461 nucleotides) under uncultured bacterium. RNAcentral's name for it is "bacterial SSU rRNA". It matches the Rfam family "Bacterial small subunit ribosomal RNA", at positions 29 to 506 of the family's 1533-position model. The record is from RNAcentral.
ACGAACGCUGGCGGCGUGCUUAACACAUGCAAGUCGAGCGGAAAGGCCACUUCGGUGGUACUCGAGCGGCGAACGGGUGAGUAACACGUGAGUAAUCUGCCCCCCACUUUGGGAUAGCCACCGGAAACGGUGAUUAAUACCGGAUAUGACCCUUGACCGCAUGGUUGUGGGUGGAAAGUUUUUCGGUGGGGGAUGUGCUCGCGGCCUAUCAGCUUGAUGGUGGGGUAAUGGCCUACCAUGGCUUCGACGGGUAGCCGGCCUGAGAGGGUGACCGGCCACACUGGGACUGAGACACGGCCCAGACUCCUACGGGAGGCAGCAGUGGGGAAUAUUGGACAAUGGGCGGAAGCCUGAUCCAGCAACGCCGCGUGAGGGAUGACGGCCUUCGGGUUGUAAACCUCUUUCAGUACCGACGAAGCGAAAGUGACGGUAGGUACAGAAGAAGCACCGGCCAACUACGU